CUUAUUUGUGAUUUCGUGUAUAUGAUCCUUUGCAUUAUUAUCUAUUUUCAUUAUUUUAAUUUGGCUAUAAUGAUGUUUUGUGUUACCAGUUGGAGCUCAAUGGCGUUAAUGCACUUUUUAUCGUUCUUAUGGCGGUCCUGAUCCCAUCGAGUCUGAGAGUAUUGAGUCAGAUGUAGGUGUGGAUGCCAUGGAGACUCAGAUAACAGAGUCAGAUGAAGGUCGUUAUCCAAUUGUGUCAGAGACUAGUGAAGCAGUUACAUGUAACUCUGAGACGGAGACUCUUCUCGGGAACCAAACUCGGCCUGCAGCAUCUAGUGGAAAACCGGGAAGAAAAGUACCUUGGUCAAAAAGCACAGAGGAAUGUUUGAGGAAAGCCUUCAAAAGUUACCUCACCCGAUCUGCGACAAGUGCCCAUAACGCAGACAUAAUCCUUGCUCAGAACACAAGUCUUGAACUGUCUGAAAGAACAUUGGCUCAAAUAAGAUCGAAAUUAAACAACAUGAAGUUGGGAAAAUCAAAAUGAUCUAUUGUUGUACAGAGGAACUAGAAACAUGUUUUAAACUGUAGAUGAUGUUUGCAAAUUUUGCCAAAUAAUACUGUAUAUCAAACAUUUAAUAUUUUUCGAUGAUGAUUUCAAAGUACUCCUGAAUGUGUAUUAUUCAUUUUAGUUAAAUUUGUAAAGAGAUGCAUGC
Long non-coding RNA from Dreissena polymorpha, 692 nucleotides. RefSeq lists it as uncharacterized. The transcript is spliced from 3 exons. Lineage: Eukaryota; Metazoa; Mollusca; Bivalvia; Myida; Dreissenidae. The record is from RefSeq and is a predicted model, not a curated record.